Molecule: non-coding RNA, 1697 nt
Organism: Oryza sativa Japonica Group (Japanese rice)
Lineage: Eukaryota; Viridiplantae; Streptophyta; Magnoliopsida; Poales; Poaceae
Source: RefSeq, a predicted model, not a curated record
ACAAUCGGUACCAUAGAGAUGGAACUAAGUGUUUCAGUUAGAUAGCACUAGUAAGCAGUUGGAGCAGAAUUUUCAAUAUCAGGCGUUUCGAUUGGGGAGGUAGCCAGAAGCGAUUUCUCCGAGCUUCCAUGGUUGCACUUGCAGCUGAGCAUGCCCGCAAAGAAGAUGAUGACCGAAGUCGCCCAACACACCAUCUUCAACAAUUUGGACAUCCCAUCCAUAGUCAUAGGAAACGGAGUACUCCCUUCGCCCCAAAAAAGACUUAACCUAGUAUUGGAUGGGACAUUUUUCUAGAUUCAUUGUACUAGAAAACAUCAAAUCCAAUACUAGGUUGAUUUUUUGUGGGACGGAGGGAGUAGGUGGCAGCGUUCCUCCGCGCGGUCAUUUUCGUUCCCACCUUGUAAAAGCCUCUCACGAGUCGCGUACCACGUUCCUCGACCCUGUUCCUUGCUUCCAUCGACCCGGGAACUUUGCAACUUUGUGACUUUAUUAUUCCCAGGGACAAAGAAGCUGGAGAGCAUGACACCUACAGUGACGAGGGACCUUUUUAUCAGAGGCAUUUUGGACCUCUCGUAACCCUCCCAAAUGCGAGCCUUGAUCACCUCUUGGUAAUCGACCUUCCGGAAUCUCCUCUCGAUAUCAUCUAUGAACCUAAGCUGCAUAUCAGCGGGUACGCUGUAUUCCGUGUGUUCCCGGAUGAGGUGCUGCUUGACGUACUUGGGUGAGCCCCGUAAGAAGCGAUCCAAUCUAUCCAGGAUGAAUCCCUUCUUCAUAUCCUGCAGAGGCUGCAGCUUCUUGGCAGCACGCUUAUCGGCCGCAGCAUCGAUCCGGAACCUCUGCGAUUCCUCCCAAGCCCGGAUCUUGAGCCGCUUCUCGUGAUCGCCUACCCCGAAAUUCUGUUCCACACGUUCGUUAAGAAUCUCCUGGACUUCGUCAACGAUCUCGUAUCUAACUCUAAAGAAGUCCUCCCUGAUGUUCUCAGGGCUUGCGCCUUCUUCGCUGCUCCCGCAGCCUCGAUCCAAAACUUGUCUGCUUCCUUCCGUGCAUGGACCUCGAGUUGUUGCUCCCCCCCUUCGCGAUCCAGCGUCUCGGGAUUCCCAUCGAAAGCGGCGUUGAUGAACUCGAGCCAGAGAUCGUCGGGAACCUUGUGGUCGUUGCAGUGUUGCUCCUGGAGAUCAAGCCUGAUGUGCUCGGGUAGGAGGUGGUCGUAGCAGCCGAGGAUCGUUGCCGUCUGCUGGAUGAAUCGCGUUUCCAGGUCUUGUAGCGCCUGCGCCUUCGCUGCCGCCCACUUCUGAGACAUCAUCCUCGAUGAAAAGACCCCUUCGAUCGAGCGCUCAGUUGAUCAGACGCGAUCAAAACCGGGGUUCUUAAAUCUGGGAGAAAAAAGAAGUCAAGAACUAUUCCGAAUCGGAUAAGAGUGCCAAACUCAAAGGUAAACGGAGACGGAAACGAAUUAAACCUGAUGGGCGUAGUGGCGAAAAUGUUGAUCCUCGCGAUCAAUGGAUUCUGCGUUUCCAUUUUCGGCCGGCCCAGAACUCGCGCGGUCAAUUUUUUGUUGUGAUUUUCAGUUUCAGACAUGGUCAUCAGAUCCUGAAAUACUUGUACUUCAGUUGAACAACUGUAGACUGUAUGUACUGGUAGCCUUUGCUUCUCAGCACAAAAUCACGCAUCGAAAGUUUCGAUCCUUUAAUUUUGCA